CAUGGGGACAUCAUCAUGUUUACACAGCAACCUCAUGGGGACCAAAAACAUUAUGGGGACAAAAAUCCACGUCCUCACAGGGGUGAUGCAUUGAAAAGUGUUGAGGAGGCUGUAAAUAGACGCCUCACAAAUUUUUAUCUUUGGCAUAUAACGCAUGAUCUGGACAAACUGUGUGUGUGAUCGGUUUGGUCUAUGUCGCCCCCUUUAGUCUGGAACCGGUAUUUAUUGGGGGAGGGGCUUGGCCAACCACUUCACACACUCUGCGUCUAAUUUAUGCAAAUUACGGUACCACCCACUUAGUAAAGGACUGUGGCUAAUCUGCAUAUGCACAUUAGCUCUAUUACCUAUUAGCGGAUUAAAAAGCUUUAAAACAAAGAGGAAGUAGGAAAAGAACUACAUUUCCCAUCUGCCCUGGCUGUCACAGGCUAAUAGCACCAGUUGCUUUCCAUUGCCCUAAGGAGUGAUUCUACUGCUGCAACGAGACCAAAUGCAAUGAAAGUAUUGAUGCUGCAAAAGAAGACGGAUCUUUUGGUAGGCUGGUUAAUGAUGACCACAAGCACCCAAAUGGCAGAAUGCAGAAGACUGAAGUGGAUGGAAGCCCACAUCUUGGUCUGUUUGCUUUAACAGACUUUAAAGAAGGUGAUGAAUUACCUGCAAUUACGGAGGAGGAGACUGGCCUUGGUGUAGCAAGGUAAAACAUCUACUCUGAAAAAGAGGAAGGCUCGGGAAGGAAAUGAGGUCCAUGCAGUGGAGAGACAUAUGGAGACCUUCAUCAUGUCAUGUCGUGUCCCAGGGAAGUUGGCCUGUGAAAACUGCAUUAGAUCUGAGUCUUUAUAUCUUAAAGAUAGAGACUGGCAAAGUGUCAAAUUCUACGUUUAUAACUGCACUGUAGCUUACAAAAGAGAUAUAAACAAAGAUUAAAUAACACUUUGAUAGUAACACUUUACAUCUAUAUUACAGAUACUGUACAUCAUAACAUCUGUAGUAAUGCUUUAAUAAUAAGUUACGUUACACCUCUAGCCUUUUACUUUGUAAUGAACCGCUCAGCAUUUACUUCAUCAUAAACUAAUCAGGAACAAAUCAGGCAUUUAAAAUAUCCAUUAGAAUCUUUACCUACACCGUUAUAUUGAAUUAGAUCAAAUUGGUUUGGGCCGCCUUCUUCCAGUGGGUCCUUAUGCAGGUGACUGACAAGUUCAUGAGUAAGCCUAUUGGGCAAUAAAAGCUUCAGUGUGCUACCCAUUUACAUGUUUAGACUGCCUGGAAUCAAAAUUAGCUACCUCAACAUACAUUAUUAAGUUGUUACUGUCACUUUUUAGCUUAAUCAGUUAAGUGGAUAUAGAAUAAAGAAAAAAAUUGUGUUUGGUUGUGUGUCUGUGUUUGGCUAGUAUCUUUAUUUUUCUCAAUAUGUUUAACUUUGAGAUGGCUAUAUGUAGUAAGCAGAAGUGUUAUGUCAAACUUAAAUGAGUCCAAGUUCAUUCAUGGCACAUGUGAGCUUAGUAGUUGUGCACUUUAAUGGGCAAAUAUUUGUUGUCUUUUACAGUAAAGAAGCUCAAGACUCAAGUUGUCUUUAUAAUGUUGAAUAGACAGGGUUUUUUCAUCUGACUGACAAUUUUUCACUUGAUUAGAGAUCCAGACCAAUAAACAAAUACUUUGUGUAGCUAAAAUAUCAAAAGGAUGAGUGUCUUUGUCAUUUUGACUUGCCAAAAUGACUGGGGAUAGUGUUAAUUUGUGAUGCAUGCCUGUGAUAAAUAAGUGAGGUUCAGUACAGCUAGCACCUCUACUUUCUAUUCCACAAAAAAAAUUGUAUACUUUGGAGCAGGAAAUGAAAAGCUUCUUAGAAUUAUAGCCUCAAAACUAAUAAUAGCACUGGUAACACCUUCCUUAACAAGUUCCUAGGUUUCUCAAAGGGUUCCUCUGUUUGAAAUAGAAAGCUCCAAAGAAAUGUAGUCUGUUAUCUGUUACGUGCAGAUAUUGAAAUUUCUGUAAGAGAGCUUUUUGAUAACCAAACUUUCACUGAUUGCAUAUUUCACAAAUAAGGCUAAGAGUCCUUAGUAUAAACAAUUAAGAACAACUGUUCAAUAUAAUUUCAUGAGAAGCUUAAACCUUCAAAUAGAGAAAAUACACAUCAUAUCUGCUUUACAGACAGCCCUCUAAAUUAGACAUACUUAGUUUGUAAUUUUGUAUAAAUAAUUAUAGAGUUAAAUUGACAACUUUUUAAAAUGUUUUUUUAAAACCAUGUCCCAUUGUUGUUAUAUAAACUACCUGAUCUGUGUGUAUGCAGAUUAACUAUCUAGUGAUGUCCCCACUACAACAUGAAAACCAGCUAAUUUUCUGUGUAUGCAAAUUAGGCCCCCGUUAAUGAUGAGUUCUUGUAAUGUCCACAUUAGGUGUGAAAAAACCAAGCACAGAAAUUUUGUGAUUUAAAUCCAGAAUUUGAGAUGAUGUGUGUUCUCAGGCUUAAAUUAUACAUGCCUGAUUUUUUUCACAUCUGUAGGACCUCAGGAAAGUGGUGUCCCCACAAUACAUGGGUGGGACUACUGACCCCAGAAUGUUCUAAUUACAAGAAUGUGAGCGAGUGAGUGAGUGAGUGAGUGAGUGAGUUAAAGGUACAGGAGCAGUCUGGCUGUGCAGCUACAGUAAAUGUUAAUAAUAAUAAUAAUAGGACAUUAUUUAAAAGCUCAUACAGCUGAUGUGAUUUUUAUUUAGUAGUUAAAUUAACAUGCUAUGCUAACAUGUAAACAAUAAGAUAAUAUUCCUGACGUACAUUUUACACUCAAUAUUGACUGUUUCUGUUCUAUUUCACCAACAAAAAUAUUUCCAAACAAAGCCACAGCAGGUCCUGCUCCUUUUUCCUCCUAAUUCCCUCAUUUCUCCACCUUGGGAUUAAUAAAGUAUUAUCUUAUCUCAUCUUUUGUUCAAAUGGGAGAUUUCUUAUUUAUUUUAUUUAUUUUGUUUAUUUUUAAAUAGGAGACUUUUUA
This is a long non-coding RNA of Ictalurus punctatus (channel catfish), 2978 nucleotides long. RefSeq lists it as uncharacterized. The record is from RefSeq and is a predicted model, not a curated record. The transcript has 4 exons. Lineage: Eukaryota; Metazoa; Chordata; Actinopteri; Siluriformes; Ictaluridae.